UUAACGUGAACUUACACUAUUUUACCUGAAAGUAGAUGAUCGUUUAUUUGAUACUCAUUAUUAUUACUAAACAGUUAUGAACAUUCCCCAAUGUUCAUAACAUUUCUCCUUAACCGGAACUACGAAAGUAGCUUCGUUGUUAUACGCACUGAUCACCCCAAUCAUUGCGUAUUUUUUUUGCUUAAAAUU
This 189-nucleotide small RNA is filed under the name Candidatus Acinetobacter avistercoris. RNAcentral describes it as "Aar sRNA". It matches the Rfam family "Aar sRNA". Lineage: Bacteria; Pseudomonadati; Pseudomonadota; Gammaproteobacteria; Moraxellales; Moraxellaceae. The record is from RNAcentral.